UGCAAGUCGAACGGCAGCGCGGGGCAACCUGGCGGCGAGUGGCGAACGGGUGAGUAAUAUAUCGGAACGUGCCCUGGAGUGGGGGAUAACGUAGCGAAAGUUACGCUAAUACCGCAUACGAUCUCAGGAUGAAAGCAGGGGACCGCAAGGCCUUGUGCUCCUGGAGCGGCCGGUAUCUGAUUAGCUAGUUGGUGGGGUAAAAGCCUACCAAGGCGACGAUCAGUAGCUGGUCUGAGAGGACGACCAGCCACACUGGAACUGAGACACGGUCCAGACUCCUACGGGAGGCAGCAGUGGGGAAUUUUGGACAAUGGGGGCAACCCUGAUCCAGCAAUGCCGCGUGUGUGAAGAAGGCCUUCGGGUUGUAAAGCACUUUUGUCAGGAACGAAACGGUUGUCCCUAAUAUGGAUGGCUAAUGACGGUACCUGAAGAAUAAGCACCGGCUAACUACGUGCCAGCAGCCGCGGUAAUACGUAGGGUGCAAGCGUUAAUCGGAAUUACUGGGCGUAAAGCGUGCGCAGGCGGUUAUGUAAGACAGAUGUGAAAUGCCCGGGCUUAACCUGGGGACUGCAUUUGUGACUGCAUGGCUAGAAUCUGGCAGAGGGGGGUAGAAUUCCACGUGUAGCAGUGAAAUGCGUAGAGAUGUGGAGGAACACCGAUGGCGAAGGCAGCCCCCUGGGCUAAGAUUGACGCUCAUGCACGAAAGCGUGGGGAGCAAACAGGAUUAGAUACCCUGGUAGUCCACGCCCUAAACGAUGUCUACUAGUUGUCGGGUCUUAAUUGACUUGGUAACGCAGCUAACGCGUGAAGUAGACCGCCUGGGGAGUA
RNAcentral lists this ribosomal RNA (828 nucleotides) under uncultured bacterium. Its description in RNAcentral is "bacterial SSU rRNA". It matches the Rfam family "Bacterial small subunit ribosomal RNA", at positions 56 to 882 of the family's 1533-position model. The record is from RNAcentral.